AGACUUCCUCACGGGAAUUCAAUGCGAUACGUGUCACAGAAUGAACCGACUUCACCACCUCCCUCAGUCUCCUAUUAAUUUUGGGAAUCUUAGAAAAGGAUUCACUCUGAACCUUACCAACAAGCUUAGACCCAUUAAGCAACACCUUCAUGUCUCCGGCAACACCAAUCCCCUCCUUGUCAACGAAGCCAUCUCCAGUGUCCAGGGAACUAAACGCGGCCACGUCAGCCUUCGCCGCCUCACACGACAAAGCAGCCACUGCAUCCACAACUGAAGCCAAAGCCGUGGAUUCAUGGUCCAAAAUGGAACAAACGCCGUAGAAAUGAGCAGAUGAUUUCUCUAUUACGAGGCGUUCCUCUUCAGUCACUUCAAUGGAGUUAAAACUCCCAUUCUCAAAUUUCGAAUUAAGGGUUUUGGAAAUGAGAUUAGGAAGAA
Molecule: unclassified non-coding RNA, 435 nt
Filed under: Hevea brasiliensis (rubber tree)
Lineage: Eukaryota; Viridiplantae; Streptophyta; Magnoliopsida; Malpighiales; Euphorbiaceae
Source: RNAcentral